RNAcentral lists this long non-coding RNA (5766 nucleotides) under Sus scrofa (pig). RNAcentral describes it as "lncRNA (ENSSSCG00055006591.1)". The record is from RNAcentral. Lineage: Eukaryota; Metazoa; Chordata; Mammalia; Artiodactyla; Suidae.
AGACAUGGAGGAUAAAAUAUGAGUAUCUAAGAUAAAUCCUCAAGUAUUUAUUUCAUUUUGUUCUGCAUUACAAUUUGUUUGAUUCAUUUGGGGAUCUACUUGUUUGCCAAAGGAAGCACAUUUCGAGCUCUCUGCUGAAUACUUAAUGCAUGCAAAGUUACCUUUUUCACACAGGUUGAGACCUGUUAUUUCCAGUAAGGCUUGAGAACAGCAUCGUGUCUGACCAUGACACCUUCAGUCUGGUUUUCCAGGGAAAAGUCCAAAAAAUACAUACUGUGCUGAUAGAUUCCACUAGAAUACACCUCCCCGUCCAUCUCGGCCUUGCCAUGAGUCUGAAUAUUCUAUCUAGGCUUUAUAGUUUAUCAAGCUCCAGAAAUACAAAAGGUAUACAACUACCCAACCCUUCUGGUAAAAGCACACGCACAGGUAUUUAACCUCAGCUCUCAACGUAAAUUUAAGCAACUAUACUAAAUCCUGUUAGAAAUGAAGAAAUGAGUUCAAUGCACUUCAGCUCUCAAAUGGUGAAAAUGAUCUCCAGCAUAAUUACAUUAGCUAGUACCUUCACAUCUGGUGUGUAUCUUGUUAUUUCUGGUUGGGCACAUCACAUGUGAAGCAUAUAAAUCCAUAAAAGGUAUAAGAUUUCCCUCUGAACCACCUUGCAUUUGGGCCAAAAGAAAAAUUCUCUCCUCUCAUUACACUUAAAAAGCAGUUGGAAAAGAAGACCUACCAAUUUAAUCCCAAUACAUCAGCUAAGGCACUCUGAGAAGUCAGUUUCGCUCAUCAAGGUGGCGUAUAAAGCUGUUUGGCAACACAAACACAAGCCUGGGCAAGAGACCAUUAAAAUAAACACCGUUUAAAAGUCCAAUUCCAAACGGCAAACAUAUUCGAAAGUUUAGACAGUCAAUCACCUGAAUUCCAAUCAGUCAGUAAAAAAGUAAUCACUUUUAUAAAAGUCUGUUCUGAUAAAUUCUCUAGAUAUGAGAGCAUUUAAUAAUGUCCAUUUAUAAAAAGCAACUAUUUUUUCUGGCCUGAUUUGUGGAAAUCACAUUGGAAAGAACUAAUAAGCAUGGACUAAAUGACCACAAAUAAAUUUUCAGGAGUUCCCAUUAUGGCUCAGCAGGUUAAGAAUCUGACUAGUAUCCAUGAGGACCUGGGUUUAAUCCCUGGCCUUGCUCAGUAGGUUAAGGAUCUGGCAUUGCCACAAGCUGUGGCACAGGUCGCAGAUGCAGCUGGCAGCCCAUGUUGCCUUGGCUGUGGCCUAGGCCAGCAGCUGCAGCUCUGAUUCAACCCCUAGCCUGGGAAUUUCCAUAUGCCGCACGUGCAGCCCUGUAAAGACAAAAGACAAAAUAACAAAUAUGCCCCUAAUCACUCAUAUCUAAGAGGUGCUUUUAAUACAUCAAAGCACUGAAAUGAUGCUCCAGCCCUAAGAAGUUUGUGGCUACCCUCUGCUUCCUUUCAGAGCAUUCCUUUUCUUCUAAGACAGAGACUCUCGAGCAGGGUGAGCCUGCAACCCCCAGACACAUUUGGCCAUGGCUGGAGACAUUUCUGGCUGUCACCCUUUGGGGACACUCCUGGUACAGAGGCUAAUGAUGCCACUAAACAUCCAACAAUGCACAAGACACUCCCCUCCACACACAAUAAAGAAUUAUUCAAAAUAUCAAUACUGCUGAGGACCUUGCUUCAAGACGAGGUCACUGCCACCAACAACAGCACUCAGAACACACCUAGAACAGGAAAAUAAUACCCAAGAAGAUCUUUCCCCCUUGUAAUACGAUGGGUGGCCCUUCCAGGAAGCAAUUACAACACAGCCCUGACUUUUCCCCUCCACAGUACUAAAAAGUCAAAUCAACUCUUAGUAAAAAACAAGAAGCUCCCUGACACUGUAAACCAGCUAUAUUGGAAAAAAUACACAUCAUUAUAAAAAAUUUAAAAAAAAUUUAAAUGCCUUUGAUUCUUAAUAGGAAGGGUUUUCUUUAAAGGAGAAAAAAGACAGCGAAAGGAAGGAGGGAAUAAGAAGUCUAUGUGGGAGGGGAGGCUAAUACUGGCUUUAGAACAAGAUAAAAGGAGCAAAUAAAGAAGAAAAAUUACCCUCUCCUACAAAUCUGUGAAAGCAUUUCAAAUCACUGCAAUUACGGGUGCCCAGGAGAAUUCCCCCUUCACAUUCACAAGGUACUUUCUCCUAACCCUCAUGCUAUUUCAAGUUAAAAUAACACUGUCACAGAGUGGCUAGGCAGCACCAUUAAAGGUAAUAAGUAAAUGGCAAAGAUAGAGGUGGCCCAGAACAUGUACCUGGAACACAGAAACAUACAUCUAGCACUGCAGCCUGUUUUGCUUUUUUUUUUUUUUAGGGCCGCACCCACAGCAUAUGGAAGUUCCCAGACUAGGGGUGGAAUCAGAGGUGUAGCCGCCGGCCUACACCACAGCCAGAGCCACAGCCACACUAGAUCUGCAACCUCCACCACAGCUCACCUGUGGAUCCUGAACCCACUGAGUGAGUCCAGGGAUAGAACCCGUGACCUCAUGGUUCCUAGUCGGGUUCGUUUACCACUGAGCCACGAAGGGAACUCCCUGCAGCCUCUUUUUACCAUUUGUAAGGACAGCCCUGUCUGUGAUUCUAGAGCAUACAGUCCUAAUGGAUCUUCUAUCUUGAACACUUCCUUAGCGCGAAAACACAAUGGGAGCUUCGGGGUUUUUACAGAAGGUAGUUUCUCUUUCCCUUGGUCAGGGACUUUAGGCCCUAGAUAUUUUUUUAAAGUAUCACUACAGUUGCUAUCCUCAUUAGGUUUAUUUACAAUUUAUUUGUAGAAGCAGGUCAUAUGAUAUUUAAAAAAAAAAAAAUUUUUUUUUAACUAUCAGUACCAGAUGGCUGAGGUGGAAACAGUACCUUUGUUUACAGGAAUAAGAGAAGGAACUGACCACCAGAAGCUGCGCUAGUAGGAAAGGUGUCAGACAUUCUGCUCCACCUUCCAACCAUCCUAAUUUAUUGAGUAGGAAACACUGUGGAAAGGACAACCCUUUCAGUUUUCAAAUUAAACCCUUCAGAUUCUUCCCUUUAAAAUUUCUUACUAAUUUGACUCAACUUCCUUUUCUUGAUAGAAUGUUCAAGCUAUUUUGAUAAAACAACCUCACCUACAGAGUUCCCACUAUGGCUUAACGGUAACAAACCCAACUAGGACCGUAGUAUCCAUGAGGACUCGGGUUUGAUUCCUGGCCCUGCUUAGUGGGUUAAGGAUCCAGCGUUGCCAUGAGCUGUGGUGUAGAUCACAGACAUGGCUCAGAUCCCGCCUAGCUGUGGCUGUGUGGCUGUGGCAUAGGCUGGCAGCUGCAGCUCCAAUUCAACCCUUAGCCUGGGAACUUGAGAACUUCCAUAUGCUGCAAGUACAGGCCUAAAAGGCAAAAACAAAACAAAAACCUCACCUUCAAGAAACAGUCUUUUCUGAAUCUUUGUACCUCACCCACCCAUCAAUCCUUCCAAAUCUGUAGACUUCUCUUCAGUCUCUUCAGUUUUUCUGCAGAUCCAAAACUCUGCCUACAUGCACAGAAUUCUCUGCAGACAGACUAGCAUUAAUUACAGGCACAGACAAAGGUUUCUACCAAUCUCAUCCAUGUAAGAUACAGGGCACUCCGGGGUUGUUCCUUGUUCAACUGCUUUGAUUUGCAGUCUUCCCACUUCUUAAUGCUAUGGAGCUUUCUACAUUCUCUGUACAAUGGUGGUUGAAAAGUGAAAAUGCACUAUUUCCUUUAUAUUGGUUUAUCAGCCACAUCCAAGUCAGCAUCUUUUCCAAAUCAACUUCUCACUGACAAGACAAGACUAUACCCCCAAAUUAGUAAAUUCUAAAGUUACCAACAGUUAGGAUCUAUAUCCUAAGAAAUCAUCAAUAAACAGGUUUCCACCAACCAUAUGCCCUCUGCCCUUUGCCUCCUGACUCUACAUAGAAUAUACCUAGAUAUUUUUUUUUCUCUCCUGGAGGCUGCCACCAUAAAAUCCAAAAAGGUUCAGUAGUGAACAUAUUACACGUACAUAACUGUGUCAAACAUCAAAAUUUGAAAUGAAAAGCUCUGGUAAAUACUCAAUGGGUGUAAAUGAUAAAAGCCUCUGUUAAAAAGACCUAGGAGCACCAACCACAUACUUACAAAAAAGAAAAACUGAGGAGACUAAAGAGAAGUCUACAAGUUUGGAAGGAUUGAUGGGUGGGUGAGGUACAAAGAUUCAGAAAGGGGAAAGCAGGUGACCCAGGAGAGACAACUGGUAGGAAAACACAGGCUUCUUUGAAUGCUGCCAAGAAGUCCUCCAACAGAACCAAGGCAUGUGGACUCUACGCCUGGAAUGUUGUCUCUCAGCCUUUCCUCUGAGAAUCCCCUGCAGUCCCAGGACCAAGGAUGGGGCACAUGUCACCAAAGCCAAACCAAAGAGGUUUUCAGUGGGGAAAAGGUUAUUGGUUUUAUGAGAGUUUUGUUACAGUCUCUGAUUCCCUACCUACAGUCCCUCUACCUCAGGUAGCAAGAUCAACUAGAUAGUGAUCAAAUCAACAAUGUACUACAAAGCAAAGGAAAAGAAAGAGAACGGGGGAAAUGGAAAAGAGCUUCAUUUGCACAAAACGGUGAAGGAUGGCUUCAGGCUGGAUACAUGCAUCUUUUCAAGGAAGAAAUCUCAGAAACAGGCACUGGAGAAGUGGGACAAUAGAAACAACACAAGGUCUGGAGUCAGACAAAUUUGGGUUUGACACUGGACUCUGUGGGCUACUAACUGUAAAACCUCAGGCAAGCCAAUUACCCUAAGUUUCAUCGUUCCCAUCCAUAAGCUAAAAGUAUUACCCCUACCAUUCAGGGAUGUUGUAAAGCUGGCAAAAAUGUAUAAAAAGAAACCUGUCACAUGGUGGAUGCCCAAUAAGUAAGGACAGAAGUGGUGUUUUAAGAAAAACACUGUUUCCUCAGAUUCCAAGGGAAGUUUUGAUGCCUAUUUCUUUACUCAGUGUAUCACCUGACCUUCCUUCCUUCCUUCUCCUUCCUGCCAAAUUCCUCAACUCUCUCAGACUCCAACACACUAUGUGUAUCAAUUUAGGAAUCUUCUCCAAGUUAGGAUUUCCCACUUUAUGCCUGAAUACUCCCAUGUCCUCCAACUCCACUGCAUAUGAAUGGACUUGCAUUUGUGGCACUGGUCAUUUUAAAGAUACUUUCUUUUAAAAAGGCAGAUUUCAAGGUCAUUUUAUAUCGCUAACUGCUGCCUUGUUUUGUUGUGUUUUACCUAAGAACGUUAGUGUCUUAAAAAUAAACCUUACCUAUUGAAGCAUAUUCCUUAACAGUCAAUGGAAGUAGAUAUAUGAGUAUCAAAAGCAUAAUAAUUUAAUUCACUAAACAAUUUCACAGUGGAUCUCAAAGGCUACCAUGUUUACAUUUGGUAAUUGCUAUCAUUCUCGGCAGUGUUUACUUUUUAAACCAUAGAUUUAUUUUUUUUAAUGAAUUUCCCUGGUAAUGAACUGAAGAGCCUACAAAGAUAGUGAUAUCUAUAAGACUUAAUGCAUUAUAUAGUUACGGGGCAGUAAUUUGCUCGUGAAUAUCCCCAGGCUUAGAUGAAUCCUCUCUCAUCACAAAGAAUGGCCUCAGCAAAGAGAAAAAGAAAAAUACAUGAAGAGUCCUGCCAUUUCUUUACUAUGUGACUUUGUCAGUUAACUUCUGUGUGCCUCUUGUUGUCUUUGCAUGCCAUACAAUGGUUCUGAACCUGGACAGUGUUUUUUGUUUUUUGGGUUUUUUUGUCUUUUUGAUUUU